RNAcentral lists this ribosomal RNA (253 nucleotides) under uncultured bacterium. RNAcentral's name for it is "partial 16S ribosomal RNA". It matches the Rfam family "Bacterial small subunit ribosomal RNA", at positions 524 to 776 of the family's 1533-position model. The record is from RNAcentral.
GACGGAGGGUGCUAGCGUUGUUCGGAAUUACUGGGCGUAAAGGGCGCGUAGGCGGCCUGGUCAGUCGGAUGUGAAAGCCCGGGGCUCAACCCCGGAACGGCAUCCGAGACGGCCAGGCUGGAGACCGGGAGAGGAGAGUGGAAUAGCCAGUGUAGAGGUGAAAUUCGUAGAUAUUGGCUGGAACACCGGUGGCGAAAGCGGCUCUCUGGCCCGGUUCUGACGCUGAGGUGCGAAAGCGUGGGGAGCAAACAGG